This 440-nucleotide ribosomal RNA is filed under the name uncultured bacterium. RNAcentral's name for it is "partial 16S ribosomal RNA". It matches the Rfam family "Bacterial small subunit ribosomal RNA", at positions 338 to 795 of the family's 1533-position model. The record is from RNAcentral.
CCUACGGGAGGCAGCAGUGGGGAAUAUUGGGCAAUGGGCGCAAGCCUGACCCAGCAACGCCGCGUGGGUGAAGAAGCGCCUCGGCGCGUAAAGCUCUGUUUGCAGGGAAGAAAAUGUCAGUACCUGAAUACGACUCACCGGCUAAAUACGUUCCAGCAGCGGCAGUACUACGUAGGGGGCAAGCGUUAUCCGGAUUUACUGGGUGUAAGGGGGGCGCAGACGGAGUUGCAAGUCAGUAGGGAAAGGCCGGGGCCCAACCCCGGGACUGCUCUUGGAACUGCGUAGCUGGAGUGCAGGUGGGGCAGGCGGAAUGACUGGUGUAGCGGUGAAAUGCGUAGAGAUCAGGAGGAACACCGGUGGCGAAGGCGGCCUGCUGGACUGUAACUGACGUUGAGGCCCGAAAGCGUGGGGAGCAAACAGGAUUAGAUACCCGAGUAGUC